This 198-nucleotide ribosomal RNA is filed under the name uncultured bacterium. Its description in RNAcentral is "partial 16S ribosomal RNA". It matches the Rfam family "Bacterial small subunit ribosomal RNA", at positions 328 to 539 of the family's 1533-position model. The record is from RNAcentral.
ACGCUCGACACCUACUGGAGGCAGCAGUGGGGAAUAUUGCACAAUGGGGGAAACCCUGAUGCAGCGACGCCGCGUGAAGGAAGAAGUAUCUCGGUAUGUAAACUUCUAUCAGCAGGGAAGAAAGUGACGGUACCUGACUAAGAAGCCCCGGCUAACUACGUGCCAGUAGCCGCGGUAAUCUGAGCGGGCUGGCAAGGC